AAUUAUGUAUUAGCAUUGAGUAGUAUUUGUUAUGCGUGCAUACUUUAUAGCAUAAAUUCCAAACGAAAAUAUCCAAGCCCACUGGGAACUCUAUCUUGAAAACAAAUACGAUAGUGAAAAUCGGUCAUCCACUGAACAAAAACCAACCGCAUCCGUUCGUCCUCACACACCGACACUCGUCAACGUCCGUGAGGAGUAUUAAAUUGACCGGCGUUGGAAAAAGUCAGUGCCCAGUCUGCCGGAGUGAAACCGCGUGAAAGUGUACUUUAAGAUUGGUCAGAAAGCCAACAAGGCUAAGGCUUCAGUCAGAUCCCAGUUAGAACCGCCAAGCGCCACCGAAUCAGUAAAUUGUCCCAGAGCAUCAACACGGUACUGCGCAGUUUGGAAGCAGAAAAACUGUUCGGAAAAUCCAACAAAAGGAAAACGAGGCGUGAUCCCCAAAAGUACCGUCGGGAUUCAUUAGGCGGCACCAACGAUACGCCCACGUGCAAAUCCAACACGGAGAUCAAGGGUAGAGGCACGUCCAAGCCGAUCAGCACAUCAAACGGACCACGGACGGAAUCAUUGACUCCGAGCACGCACUUCGGUCCUCGAGCUGUUUGGACGGUCUGAGCCAGCUUAACUGCAACUAGCACUUAGGGGAAGACGGGGUAAGACCGCCCGCCUAAGCAAUUUA
Molecule: long non-coding RNA, 676 nt
Organism: Aedes aegypti (yellow fever mosquito)
Lineage: Eukaryota; Metazoa; Arthropoda; Insecta; Diptera; Culicidae
Exons: 3
Source: RefSeq, a predicted model, not a curated record